Bombina bombina (fire-bellied toad) is the source of this 6312-nucleotide long non-coding RNA. RefSeq lists it as uncharacterized. The transcript has 2 exons. NCBI's taxonomy places the organism in Eukaryota, Metazoa, Chordata, Amphibia, Anura, Bombinatoridae. The record is from RefSeq and is a predicted model, not a curated record.
CUCUCAUUAAUACAUAUGAAUAGUCCAUGACACGUGUUGUAGAGAACUCUGUUUUUUGCCUGCUGUCAGGUUUUGUGAAUAAAUGCUGUGAUAUGGAUAGUUCUGUGUUGGAGGGGGGAUGCGCUAAGGUUAGCACUGCAGAGACUUGUUCUCCUAUCCAUCCUCAUUCAGAUUUUGGAACCUGCACCAAGAAUAUUGUUAUUUGUACUCUCAAUAUCAGAAAUAACCCUGUAGCUCUCUUGGUGCCAAACCUGCACAGGAAGUGUUAAAAGGCUCCUGAUAUCAUUUGUCUGUGCUUGGUUAUUUUCUUAAAAAGACCCAUGCAAUUAUAUUUCUGUUUUUACCUCAAUGUUAUGACCCCUGCUUAGUAUUUGAACUACGUUCUUGGCAUUAUCCCUAGUGUUCUACGAAUUUGGGACUGAUUGCUCUGUUACUGACUUCUGGCUAUUGUUACCUGGAUUAUUCGUUUGCUGACUCCUGCUACUUUGUCUAGAUACUGCUGGAUAUCCUGAUAUUUGACCUUGGCCUGUCUCCUGACUACUCUCCUGCCUAUAUCCUGGACAUUGACGAGUUCCUGCUCCUCUAAGAUUAUGGCCUGGUCCUGACCAGUGUUUCCUCUAAGCCCAGUUUUGUGAGCGGCCCAGCAGUGAAACAGUUUAUAAGGGAACCACGCCUUGCAGUCUGCAUUGUGUAGUGUUUGCUAAUUGCUCUAAUUAACAUUUUCACUGCUGGGCUGCUCACAAAACUGGCCUGCAAGGGAAAACUGGUCCUGACUACUACUUAUGGUUCAUCUUAUGCUAUAUGGGUUCCAGCUACAAACAGUUAGUGAGGUAGUAAACACAUGGGACUGGAAAAGGUUGGAUUUCAGAAUAGUUAGGCUUUUGGAAUAUUUGCAUCUGUUAAAUGGGACAGUAUGGAGAGAGAACGGAUAAACAACAAUAUCUUAUGUCAUUUAGGCAAUAUUUACAUGUAUUAUACAGUUUAUACAUGCAACCUAAAGGUAGUUUAAUAUCAUUUUUAAUACUUUUGUAUACAUAGUACCCAAAGAAAGAUAGUAUAGUACUGUAAUCUAAAUGGUAAUAUUUGUUGUUUUAAAUCAAUUUAGACUACUAUUUUCAUUUUAGAACACAAAAAAACAAACCAGAGAUAUAGGCAGAGAAGAUUGUGACAUACAGGUGGGGAAAAUAGUCAUUUUUGAUCAUUUUAUUUUUAAAAAAAUAUUAAUUAAAAAGUUUGGAUUUCAGAAUAAUUUAAGAAAUUGGAAUUCCGGAUUUUGGGUUUUGUACCUGUACUCCAUUUUAUGCCUUGUUAUACCACUGUGGGACUUGCAAUCUGCAUCACAGGACAGUAGUUUAUCUUUAUUUUGUAAAGCAUGUUAAUUUACAAUAUUUUAUUUGCCUUUAACUGAAAAAAAAUAUUGCAAAAGAAAAAAAGAAAACACAGGAUUAUUUAUUGGUAACUAAAAAUAUCUGAUCCAAAAAGCUUUUAUGUGUAAAGAUUAUAAGAAAGAAAGAGGUCACCUGCGCUAAAAUCUAGGAUAUGGGAAUUUAUAUCUUACCAAAGGAAAAGAAUUCAGGUAUUUGUAGAAAUUUCCCAAGUGAUAAUGCUUAUAAGUAAUAUGAAUUUGGUCAAACUUGGUAUAAGUUUAGCGUGCUGCCUCUAUAUUGAAACAGAGUACCCCUAACUCUGUAAAAAAGUGUAUAGAAAGAGAAGAUUCAAUAUGAAGGUAGAGGCGCUCAGCUAUAUAAUAUACACUGUAAAUAUGAGUACAUAAAAUGUUUUUUAGUAGUCUUUUUGGUGAAAUUCUUCACAGUUGUUGGAAUCAAGUAAGAAAUUUCUGCUUACCAGCUGUUACCUCAAUCAUAUGAGGUAAGGAAUGCGCCCAGUUUUAAAGGUGAUUCACUGUAAUGGACCUUCUGUGUCCUGGUGUUGUUCCUGGAAAAUUGUUGUUGAAAUCUGUCCCUCCGUUAGGAUUCUUGAUCUUAUAAGAAUGAAGAUCCUGGACUCUCUUUAGGUAGAGGGAUGUAGACUGUAACCCGUCUGUUAUAUCUCUCUUCAAUGGUGGUAGGAAUACAUUAUCCUUUUUGCACGAUCCUUAGGAAGAUGUGCCCUUGGGUGGUGAGAAUCUCCGUCUCCUCAGGAUGUAGUAAUUUCCUCAGCUCACCAGAGUAAGUCCUGUGUAAAAAGUUACACUUCAGCAGGUGUUCUGUGGGGGUUUUAACUGAUGAAAAACAAGUUGUAACAAUGCAUGGGCAGAGCUGCUAUUAGCUUUGGUCGUGGAAUAAGCAGUAUGUGCAGAAGGUUGAUUAAGCAGUGUAACCAGCAAUCUCUGCGAUGCAGCACAUUCACAGGAUUUUCUGUGAAAAGAUUAGUUGGUCUAAAGAGAUGGCUUCUAAAUAGUGAUGUCGCGAAUAGUUCGCCGGCGAAUAGUUCCCGACGAACAUAGCUUGUUCGCGUUCGCCGCGGCGGGCGAACAUAUGCGAUGUUCGGUCUGCCCCCUAUUCAUCAUCAUUGAGUAAACUUUGACCCUGUACCUCACAGUCAGCAGACACAUUCCAGCCAAUCAGCGGCAGACCCUCCCUCCCAGACCCUCCCACCUCCUGGACAGCAUUCAUUUUAGAUUCACUCGGAAGCUGUAUUCUUAUUGAGAGGAGGGACAGUGUAGCUGCUGCUGAUUUAAUAGGGAAAUCGAAAGCUAGGCAAGUGUAUUCAGUGUCCACUACAGUCCUGAAGGACUCAUCUGAUCUCUGCUGUAAGGACAGCACCCCAAAAAGCCCUUUUUAGGGCUAGAACAUCAGUCUGCUUUUUUUUUUUUCCCCCCUGUGUAAUCUAAUUGCAGUUGCCUGCCUGCCAGCGUGUGUGUCAGGCUCACAGCGUAUACUGUGCCCACUUGCCCAGUGCCACCACUCAUAUCUGGUGUAACAGUAGUGUACAUUUAAAAAAAACAACACUUGGGGGGCGGAGUCUAGCCACGCUGGAAGAUGGCUGCUAGUUACGAGGGCUCCUAUCUUCCACACCGACUAUAAGCGUUUUUAGAUGGCAACAAACACUUAUUUCCCUUCCUCUCCUGCUGUCAGGAUUUUGGCAUGUGAUUCUAUACCUUUAAGAGUUUCUAACCAAUAGUUGUAUCACGCCCCUUAUAAAACACCUGUUCACACCUAGAACCUUGCUUAGUAUUUUGUGAACUUCCUGUAGUCACUCACGCCUAAGCUGGAGCUAAUCUUUGUUUCCUCUCAAUUCCAGUCUGUUUUACUUCUGGAUUCACUUGUCUGUUUGUGUGUGCUAAAGGAAUCUCUAACCAGCUAUUCUUUUCACAGACUGUCACCCUCUGCAACAGAUACAUUAAGUGUCUCAGAACCGCAACUCAUCAGAGCAGUCAAGUAACUUUCAGACCAGAAAACUUCUAACCGAAUUCUCAGGAUUUUAUUCACCAAGGUAUCCCUUGCUUUACCUCUAUUGCAACCAUCUCAUCUCUGCUUAAUCUCAUUCUGCAGCUCUCCCUCUCGGCAUCUACUGCUUGCAGUGUGACAUCACACGCUGAACUCUAACUCGAGCGGUCUCUCUGCUGAGUCACCUCCCCCACUGCCUUCAGUGCCGUAAGGAGCUGCCGUUUACACCGGACUGCACAUUUACCUCCUGAUAUUAGGAUUAUUACACCUGCAGAGGGGAUUCCGCCUGGGGCCCUCCUCUGCGGCCGACACACGCAGCCUGAUACUACGAGCACGAUGGAGGCCUCCCUGAGUCCACCAACAAAGGAUAGAGUAUAAACGCCCUCACGGAAGGUAGCGACCCAACUUGAUCGGCAGCAGCAAAGAAGUAAAGGAGAGAGCUGAUCCGCAACUUCUACUUACAUCAGGGGUGCCAUUACGCAGACUACUAUAGGCCUCAUUGCAAACAUUGGAGGGCUAUACAUUAGCUGCGCACAUCUACCAACUUGAGCCGAGACCAGGUAAAUUGCCAGAGUUCUUAGCUAACAGCGGAUAUCAGCACUGAUACGGGCAAGCUACCUAUCUCACACUCCACGCACCUGCAGAAAGAGUCCCGCCUGGGGCCCAAUCCCACGUCACAUACCCGAGGCCUACCUGCCUCUGCCAAAAAGGACAGUUUGCAAACGCCACCGCGGACAGAGGUGGCCCAUCAGGACUGACUAUGGCAGAGACUUGAGAGAAGGAGCUUGACUCAGUUGCUGUGCAGCUCAGAGGCGCCACUGCACAGAACGAUCAAGGCCUCAUCGCUUACAACCACAGCACUUCUCCAUAUAGAAGCUGGGAUCAAAAGAGCUACCGGAGGUGAGUUAGCUAUAAAGCAAUAUUGGUAUCCGGCUCAGGUUAGAUUGUGUGGUGGCUUACCCCUGGGGAACCAAUGUUACAGGGAGCUUAAUAGUAAUACCGGGCCCACUCUGUAAUUGUGCCCUAUAGGCUCUAACUAAGAGAUAUAAUUUUACUAGUCCUGCACAAAAGGUCUAAAACUUUGCAUACUGAGUCUGCUUGUUCACUCAAAGAUAAGACCUCUUCGCCGAAAGCUCCCUCUUGCACAGAAAUCUGAUUCCCUCAUUGAAAAAUUAUUAAACCCACACCUGAUAUCAUAACAGACUUUCUUACCUAAGGUGCCUUAAAAGCUUUUUCAUAUACAACAGACCCUGGCCUUUUCUGCCUGUUGCCCUCCUGAAUUCUCAUCACAAGCAGACUCCCACUGAUAAACUAACUUAAUAUACCUACUUGGGUGAGUGUGUAAUGCCGUGUAAAAGACAGCAUAAAGGAGAUAAACCCAAUCCACAAAGCCGCUAAGCCAAUUUUUAAAGCCUAGAGAAACACAGUCUCCCCUUGGCCCUGAGACAGUCAUGGAAAUGCAGGCCCCUGCAACUAACCCCUCUCUGCUGAUCACACCCGACAUGAGCUCCUUUCUCACAAAAAAAGAUAUCUCACACCUGUCAUCAAAAGACGACAUCAAAGUUGUCCUACACGAAAUGAGGACCUUAUUCGGUGAUUUAAGAAAGGAUCUAGGAGCCAUGGAAAAAGAGUAAUCUCUCUAGAAAAUGCACAAGAAGCCACUGCGACUGAAGUCCAAUCUAACUCCUCUAACAUCCAAGACCAAGGACUCAAAUUGCAAUCAUUAGCUGAAAAAUUAGAAGACCUGGAAAACAGGACUAGACAAAACAAUCUCAGAAUCAGGGGAGUUUCUGAAAACGUCUUCCCCCCAGCAAUUGAAGAUUACCUCUAAGCACUAUUUAGGGUUAUUAAAGAGAAUCCAUCAGCUGAAGACAUACAGAUAGAACGAGCACAUCGGGCCUUACGCCCCAAGCACCCACCCAAAGCCCCCCUGAGGGACAUAAUAGUGAAGUUCCUUAAAUAUAAGAAUAAGGAAGAUCUCCUUCGCUGUGCUAGAGAGAAGCACCCUAUCCUACAUAUAGGUGAAGAAAUCCAACUAUUCACUGACCUGUCUCCGACCACCCUUCAAAAGAGAAGAGACUUAUCUCACAUUACUUCUUUCCUGAAAAAGCAUAAAGUUUCAUACAGAUGGGGCUUUCCGGUCUCACUGAUAGCAUCAGCUAACAACAAAAAAGCGAUCUUUAGACUGGGUACAGACCCCAACCAAUUCUACAAAGAGCUGGCCUUAAUGCCUUUCAAUGAAUCGGAAGAACCAACAACAGCUUACAGAGGACAUACAGUAAGCACAGACCGGUUGGACAAUAGCUCUACCUCAAGUUGACAUUAAUCAUUUUGUCUCUCUUGCCCCUCUAACGAGGACACGUUUGCAGAGAUGAGCCACCAUGAGCGUUUCUAGUACCCCGGACCUGUCUCCCACCACCCUUCAAAAGAGAAGAGACUUAUCUCACAUUACUUCUUUCCUGAAAAAGCAUAAAGUUUCAUACAGAUGGGGCUUUCCGGUCUCACUGAUAGCAUCAGCUAACAACAAAAAAGCGAUCUUUAGACCGGGUACAGACCCCAACCAAUUCUACAAAGAGCUGGCCUUAAUGCCUUUCAAUGAAGCGGAAGAACCAACAACAGCUUACAGAGGACAUACAGUAAGCACAGACUGGUUGGACAAUAGCUCUACCUCAAGUUGACAUGAAUCAUUUUGUCUCUCUUGCCCCUCUAACGAGGACACGUUUGCAGAGAUGAGCCACCAUGAGAGUUUCUAGUACCCCGGACGCUGAGAUGAGAAAGUAAGUGUCUGGAAAGAAGCAGCGGGCUUUUGGCGGCACACAAGACUUUGAUUAUUUUUACCCCUGCUCUAACGGUUAAAAAGUUGUUUGUUAAUAUAAGACAGUACCUUUGUAUUUUACUCAACACAACAAUGUUUAUGCCUGUA